CGAUUUAUCUCAAUUUUCUUGGCCAAUGACCAAUCAAAUUUGUUUGGAUUCUAAGGCAAAGAGGUAGACAACGUGUAACAGCGAGCUACAGACUUCUUCCCUUCGCUUCGUGUUCAGUCGUCACUCAAUCUAGCAGUUUGAUCCUCAUUGUAGAUGAUUGGAUUGCGGUCUUCAAAAACAGUGACUAAAUGGCAACUGAAUUUUAGGUCUUCUAAUUAUGAUUUUGAAGCUGAACUGAUGACCCUCCACAGUCUACCCCAAGCACAAACAAAUCUGGGAAGUUCUUGCUUUAUUUUUAUAUUAUGUUUUGUUCUUCAUCUAUGUCUUCCGAAGCAGCAGCAUGACACUUCAAGCCUUUGAUCAUGACUAGAUU
This is a long non-coding RNA of Hevea brasiliensis (rubber tree), 373 nucleotides long. RefSeq lists it as uncharacterized. The transcript is spliced from 3 exons. The record is from RefSeq and is a predicted model, not a curated record. NCBI's taxonomy places the organism in Eukaryota, Viridiplantae, Streptophyta, Magnoliopsida, Malpighiales, Euphorbiaceae.